UGAUCCUGCCAGUUAGUCAUAUGCUUGUCUCAAGAUUAAGCCAUGCAUGUCUAAGUAUAAGCUUUUAUACAGUGAGACUGCGAAUGGCUCAUUAAAACAGUUAUAGUUUAUUUGCUAUUCGUUUAUAUGGAUAACCGUAGUAAUUCUAGAGCUAAUACAUGCAUUAUUCGCGACUCACGAAGCGUAAUAUUUAUUAGAUAAGCACCACGGGCUUCGGCUUGUGUGAGGAAUCAUAAUAACUGAGCGAACUACCAUCGGUAGCGAAGCAUUCAAGUUUCUGCCCUAUCAGCUUUCGAUGGUAGUGUAUUGGACUACCAUGGCGUUGACGGGUAACGGAGAAUUAGGGUUCGAUUCCGGAGAGGGAGCCUGAGAAACGGCUACCACAUCUAAGGAUGGCAGCAGGCGCGCAAAUUACCCAAUCCUAACGUCGUAGUCUUAACCAUAAAACUAUGCCGACUAGAGAUUGGAGGUGCAAUCUCAAUACUCCUUCAGCAUCUUAGGAGAAAUCAAAGUCUUUGGGUUCUGGGGGUAGUAUGGUCGCAAGACUGAAACUUAAAGGAAUUGACGGAAGGGCACCACAAGGUGUGGAGCCUGCGGCUUAAUUUGACUCAACACGGGGAAACUUACCAGGUCCAGACAUGGGAAGGAUUGACAGAUUGGAGAUCUUUCUUGAUUCCAUGGAUGGUGGUGCAUGGCCGUUCUUAGUUGGUGGAGUGAUUUGUCAGGUUAAUUCCGAUAACGAACGAGACCUCAACCUGCUAACUAGUUGCAGCUUCUUUCAAGUUGUAGACUUCUUAGAGGGACUAUAGGAUUUAACCUAAGGAAGUUUGAGGCAAUAACAGGUCUGUGAUGCCCUUAGAUGUCCCGGGCCGCACGCGCGCUACACUGAUGCAGGCACUAAGUCUCCAAUUUCGAAAGAUUUUGGGAACCUUCAAACUGCAUCGUGCUGGGGAUUGACACUUGUAAUUAUUUGUCAUCAACGAGGAAUACCUAGUAAGCGCAAGUCAUCAGCUUGCACUGAUUACGUCCCUGCCCUUUGUACACACCGCCCGUCGCUCCUACCGAUUGGGUGAUGCGGUGAGCCUUUCGGACGGGCGCUUCGGCGCCUGAAAGUUAUGCAAAUCUCAUCACUUAGAGGAAGGAGAAGUCGUAACAAGGUUUCCGUAGGUGAACCUGCAGAAGGAUCAA
This 1188-nucleotide ribosomal RNA is filed under the name uncultured marine eukaryote. RNAcentral's name for it is "bacterial SSU rRNA". It matches the Rfam family "Eukaryotic small subunit ribosomal RNA". The record is from RNAcentral.